This 253-nucleotide ribosomal RNA is filed under the name uncultured bacterium. RNAcentral's name for it is "partial 16S ribosomal RNA". It matches the Rfam family "Bacterial small subunit ribosomal RNA", at positions 524 to 776 of the family's 1533-position model. The record is from RNAcentral.
UACGUAGGGUGCGAGCGUUGUCCGGAAUUAUUGGGCGUAAAGGGCUCGUAGGCGGUUUGUCACGUCAGGAGUGAAAACUCGGGGCUCAACCCCGAGCCUGCUUCUGAUACGGGCAGACUAGAGGUAUGCAGGGGAGAACGGAAUUCCUGGUGUAGCGGUGAAAUGCGCAGAUAUCAGGAGGAACACCGGUGGCGAAGGCGGGACUCUGGGCCGAUACUGACGCUGAGGAGCGAAAGCGUGGGGAGCAAACAGG